CCUUUUGUAUAAUGGGUCAGCGACUUAUAUUCUGUAGCAAGGUUAACCGAAUAGGGGAGCCGAAGGGAAACCGAGUCUUAACUGGGCGUUAAGUUGCAGGGUAUAGACCCGAAACCCGGUGAUCUAGCCAUGGGCAGGUUGAAGGUUGGGUAACACUAACUGGAGGACCGAACCGACUAAUGUUGAAAAAUUAGCGGAUGACUUGUGGCUGGGGGUGAAAGGCCAAUCAAACCGGGAGAUAGCUGGUUCUCCCCGAAAGCUAUUUAGGUAGCGCCUCGUGAAUUCAUCUCCGGGGGUAGAGCACUGUUUCGGCAAGGGGGUCAUCCCGACUUACCAACCCGAUGCAAACUGCGAAUACCGGAGAAUGUUAUCACGGGAGACACACGGCGGGUGCUAACGUCCGUCGUGAAGAGGGAAACAACCCAGACCGCCAGCUAAGGUCCCAAAGUCAUGGUUAAGUGGGAAACGAUGUGGGAAGGCCCAGACAGCCAGGAUGUUGGCUUAGAAGCAGCCAUCAUUUAAAGAAAGCGUAAUAGCUCACUGGUCGAGUCGGCCUGCGCGGAAGAUGUAACGGGGCUAAACCAUGCACCGAAGCUGCGGCAGCGACGCUGAUGCGUUGUUGGGUAGGGGAGCGUUCUGUAAGCCUGCGAAGGUGUGCUGUGAGGCAUGCUGGAGGUAUCAGAAGUGCGAAUGCUGACAUAAGUAACGAUAAAGCGGGUGAAAAGCCCGCUCGCCGGAAGACCAAGGGUUCCUGUCCAACGUUAAUCGGGGCAGGGUGAGUCGACCCCUAAGGCGAGGCCGAAAGGCGUAGUCGAUGGGAAACAGGUUAAUAUUCCUGUACUUGGUGUUACUGCGAAGGGGGGACGGAGAAGGCUAUGUUGGCCGGGCGACGGUUGUCCCGGUUUAAGCGUGUAGGCUGGUUUUCCAGGCAAAUCCGGAAAAUCAAGGCUGAGGCGUGAUGACGAGGCACUACGGUGCUGAAGCAACAAAUGCCCUGCUUCCAGGAAAAGCCUCUAAGCAUCAGGUAACAUCAAAUCGUACCCCAAACCGACACAGGUGGUCAGGUAGAGAAUACCAAGGCGCUUGAGAGAACUCGGGUGAAGGAACUAGGCAAAAUGGUGCCGUAACUUCGGGAGAAGGCACGCUGAUAUGUAGGUGAAGUCCCUCGCGGAUGGAGCUGAAAUCAGUCGAAGAUACCAGCUGGCUGCAACUGUUUAUUAAAAACACAGCACUGUGCAAACACGAAAGUGGACGUAUACGGUGUGACGCCUGCCCGGUGCCGGAAGGUUAAUUGAUGGGGUUAGCGCAAGCGAAGCUCUUGAUCGAAGCCCCGGUAAACGGCGGCCGUAACUAUAACGGUCCUAAGGUAGCGAAAUUCCUUGUCGGGUAAGUUCCGACCUGCACGAAUGGCGUAAUGAUGGCCAGGCUGUCUCCACCCGAGACUCAGUGAAAUUGAACUCGCUGUGAAGAUGCAGUGUACCCGCGGCAAGACGGAAAGACCCCGUGAACCUUUACUAUAGCUUGACACUGAACAUUGAGCCUUGAUG
RNAcentral lists this ribosomal RNA (1547 nucleotides) under Escherichia coli. Its description in RNAcentral is "partial 23S ribosomal RNA". It matches the Rfam family "Bacterial large subunit ribosomal RNA", at positions 604 to 2136 of the family's 2925-position model. The record is from RNAcentral. Lineage: Bacteria; Pseudomonadati; Pseudomonadota; Gammaproteobacteria; Enterobacterales; Enterobacteriaceae.